This 456-nucleotide ribosomal RNA is filed under the name bacterium Fw70s-8. RNAcentral describes it as "bacterial SSU rRNA". It matches the Rfam family "Bacterial small subunit ribosomal RNA", at positions 28 to 495 of the family's 1533-position model. The record is from RNAcentral.
GACGAACGCUGGCGGCGUGCUUAACACAUGCAAGUCGAACGAUGAAGCUGGAGCUUGCUCCGGUGGAUUAGUGGCGAACGGGUGAGUAACACGUGAGCAAUCUGCCCUUGACUCUGGGAUAACUGCGGGAAACUGUAGCUAAUACCGGAUACUUUCCUUGGUGGGCAUCCACUGGGGAAGAAAGAAUUUCGGUCAAGGAUGAGCUCGCGGCCUAUCAGCUAGUUGGUGAGGUAAUGGCUCACCAAGGCGACGACGGGUAGCCGGCCUGAGAGGGUGACCGGCCACACUGGAACUGAGACACGGUCCAGACUCCUACGGGAGGCAGCAGUGGGGAAUAUUGCACAAUGGGCGAAAGCCUGAUGCAGCAACGCCGCGUGAGGGACGAAGGCCUUCGGGUUGUAAACCUCUUUUAGCAGGGAAGAAGCGAAAGUGACGGUACCUGCAGAAAAAGCACGG